AUGGACAUCCGGAUGAACGCUACCCAGCGCAGCAGGCUUCAGAUCAAAGCUCCUACGGUCCUCAAAGCACACAAUGUCGAUGUUGCUCGACCAUGCCAGGUCCACAGCGACCAAGAAGAAGACUACACGGCCGCGGACAUCACCCUGGACAACGCUAUCGAGCGCCAAAAGCUUCGGAUCAGGGCUCGCCGCGCUUCCGGCGGCGCAGAUCACCAGGCUCCUCUACCAGUACAGAAUCCAGCAUCACUUCCUCCAGCUGCGCCUGCGCAUCGCGCAGGGACAAAGAGGCAAGCAACCUGGCCACCUCCUGCUGUCUCCGGCGUUCGACAGCUGCCGCAGAACCAGUUCCAGGCGCUGGCACCGGCGAGGCAGCAAUACCAGGAGCAGCAACCGCAGAUGCAGUACGUGGCAGCGCCGGCGCAGGCACAGCAACCGCGGGCGCCGCCAGCGCAGGCGCUCCCACUCCAGAAGCAGAGGCCACUGCCGCACGCUACGCCAACGGCCGCCAGAACGCCGCCUCCGCAGGUGACUACCAGCUCCAAGCCGCCGCUUCACCCAAGGUCCCCAGCCAACCCGGCGGCAGGCAACACGACCUCCAUCGUUUGCCGCGUCUGCGGUGUGCGGUGCAUGACGGCGUUCAACCUCAGGCAGCACGAGGAGGGGAGGAAGCACCGGAACAAGGUGGCCAACGCCGCCGGUGAGGUAAACGUGCGGUGCGAGAUGUGCGACGUGGUCCUCUCAGGCAAGCUCAACGUCCAGGAGCACUACGCCGGCAAGCACCACCUCCAUCGGGUCUUCGUCUCCGGUGCCAGUGGCACCGCCGGUGAGAUAAACGUGCGUUGCGAGAUCUGCGACGUGCUCAUCUCAGGUGAGCUCAACGUCCAGGAGCACUACGCCGGCAAGCACCAUCUCCGUCGGGUCUUCCUCUCCGGUGCCAGUGGCACCUCCGGCAACCCAGCAACCUGA
This 966-nucleotide ribosomal RNA is filed under the name Triticum aestivum (bread wheat). RNAcentral describes it as "partial small subunit ribosomal RNA". Lineage: Eukaryota; Viridiplantae; Streptophyta; Magnoliopsida; Poales; Poaceae. The record is from RNAcentral.